CACGGCAAGCUAGUGAAACCACUACAUAACAAGGGAGUGGCACUUGCAGUAUUGGAGGUGCUUUGUAUCGGACGGUGAGAAGUGAGCAACGGCAGCAGGUGACAUAGGCGGGAGACUGAAGCAAGAAGAUGGUCUGACUGAUCAUUCAUGCGUGCCGCUAUGUGGCCAAGAAGAUAACUUCCUCUAUGAGGGGAGAGGAAGAGGAGAAGGGAGCAGAGAGUAGUCCUGUGAAGUCUUCAUGUGUUCUGCGAUCAGGACGCAAGAAAGAUGGCGCAGCUCUGGCUCCUCCCCCUUCUCUCUCUGCCCCCCUGACUUCUAACCCAGAUGAGAGUUCCCCUUCCAGUUCAGCCAUCCAGACACGUGAUUCUGUUCCUUACUAACACCCGAAAGGGAUUUAUUUUACAAGAUGGUUUGUCAGGAGAAGGGGCAACACAGCAGAAGGAUGAUCCACCUCUCAGAAGCCCCUAACUUCAGAGGUUGAGAGGAGGGGAAGAAUAUAUCUGGUGUGUUGUAAAUAAAAAAAGAUAUCUGAAACCUA
This is a long non-coding RNA of Xenopus laevis (African clawed frog), 538 nucleotides long. RefSeq lists it as uncharacterized. The record is from RefSeq and is a predicted model, not a curated record. The transcript has 3 exons. NCBI's taxonomy places the organism in Eukaryota, Metazoa, Chordata, Amphibia, Anura, Pipidae.